GCUUGACCUUCUUAUCGCGUGCUUUCUUCACUCUCUGCUGAUAUGACUGUCCAUGACACAUGGCAGUUGAUCUCUUCUUUUCGAUCGAAUUCAGCAUCAGUCAACUUGGGACUUUGAGGGUGCUAUCUUCUUUUGUUUUCUUUUGAUUUCUUUCUUUUUCUUUCUUUUGAUUUCUUUUGAUUUCUUUUGAUUUCUUUUGAUUUUGCACCCUCCUCUUUCUUUUCUUUUUCUCUUUUUUUUUUGAUAAAUGCCCCAGUUGGCUGUUCUGCUGAUUCUCGCGAUGCAGCUGAGUGUGAUCUUCUUUUCUCGCUCAAGAAGUCGGGAAAUCUCGUCAGGAAUCCC
This 342-nucleotide long non-coding RNA is filed under the name Lathyrus oleraceus (garden pea). Its description in RNAcentral is "Pisum sativum (pea) long non-coding RNA (PSAT_LNC008507)". The record is from RNAcentral. Lineage: Eukaryota; Viridiplantae; Streptophyta; Magnoliopsida; Fabales; Fabaceae.